AUGCAUCUAUUACUAGAUGACAAGAAAGAGCUAAUAAAUGCGCGGAGGCGGGCAACGUAUCUUAAGAACAAGGAAAAUGCUGACAUUAACAAGGAACAGAUGAAAGCUCCGUUGGUAGAUGGUUAUCGAAGAAAAUAUGAUGACGCCGCCGGCAAGCAUCUCCAUCAAAAUAUGCCUGCCGUUGACAUGUCGGGUAUGCAAAAUGUUCCACGGAGCGCUCUCGGUGAUAUCACUAAUGGGGUACAAGCUCACCCUAUGCUCCUUGCCGACAAAAAUAGCCAGAUCAAGGCUCAAGGGCGAGCUACCGUGAAGCACAAAGAUGAUAACCUUCCUGCCCUUACAAUAUCAGCCGACCCAAAUAGGUCCAGCUAUACGUCAUUGUCACAAGAUGAGGCGGUAUUGCCUCAUACCAAUACAAUCAGUACAGCUGUCAUUCAUGAUAACCAACUACCUAGGAAGCAGCGUGAUAAUGCAGACGAAAUCGAUGGGUUCCGAGACUGCAUCACUGGCGAUGAGAUGACACCAUCCGACUUUAUGGAUGAGGAGUACUACAUGUUUCGCGACGAAGGAUACGAUAAUGACACCUUGGAGGAUGAAGAGGAAGCGAUCAUGUCGUCUGCUAUACCUAGCGAGGUUGAUCCAUUAGACUUUGUCUACACAAACAUCCCAGACACGACUCACAUCCUGAAGCUCGACGCAAACUGCAAACACUGCAAGGAAAAAAAAUUGUGUCCGAGACUGACGGCUUCUGCUGUCGCAAUGGCCAGAUCAAACUUAAACAACCUGAGCCAAUCCCAGAGCUGA
RNAcentral lists this ribosomal RNA (804 nucleotides) under Triticum aestivum (bread wheat). Its description in RNAcentral is "partial small subunit ribosomal RNA". The record is from RNAcentral. Lineage: Eukaryota; Viridiplantae; Streptophyta; Magnoliopsida; Poales; Poaceae.